This 68-nucleotide transfer RNA is filed under the name Enterobacter hormaechei. RNAcentral's name for it is "tRNA-OTHER". It matches the Rfam family "tRNA". Rfam says of the family: Transfer RNA (tRNA) molecules are approximately 80 nucleotides in length. Their secondary structure includes four short double-helical elements and three loops (D, anti-codon, and T loops). Further hydrogen bonds mediate the characteristic L-shaped molecular structure. tRNAs have two regions of fundamental functional importance: the anti-codon, which is responsible for specific mRNA codon recognition, and the 3' end, to which the tRNAs corresponding amino acid is attached (by aminoacyl-tRNA synthetases). tRNAs cope with the degeneracy of the genetic code in two manners: having more than one tRNA (with a specific anti-codon) for a particular amino acid; and 'wobble' base-pairing, i.e. permitting non-standard base-pairing at the 3rd anti-codon position. The record is from RNAcentral. Lineage: Bacteria; Pseudomonadati; Pseudomonadota; Gammaproteobacteria; Enterobacterales; Enterobacteriaceae.
CGCGGGGUGGGUAGCUCGUCGGGCUCAUAACCCGAAGGUCGUCGGUUCAAAUCCGGCCCCCGCAACCA